Molecule: small nucleolar RNA, 107 nt
Organism: Eutrema salsugineum
Lineage: Eukaryota; Viridiplantae; Streptophyta; Magnoliopsida; Brassicales; Brassicaceae
Rfam family: Plant small nucleolar RNA R71
About the family: R71 is a member of the C/D box family of snoRNAs containing the C (UGAUGA) and D (CUGA) box motifs. Multiple nearly identical copies of this snoRNA have been identified in Arabidopsis, and it is thought to function as a 2'-O-ribose methylation guide for 18S ribosomal RNA.
Source: Rfam
AACCAAUGGUGUGGACACUGAUUGAUGUAUGUCCUGAACCGCUCCCAUGCUUCUUCAAAAGUCUCAUUGGAGUGCUGUGUGAAGCUAGAGAUUUGGUUUCUUAGCUU